RNAcentral lists this ribosomal RNA (500 nucleotides) under uncultured bacterium. RNAcentral describes it as "partial 16S ribosomal RNA". It matches the Rfam family "Bacterial small subunit ribosomal RNA", at positions 30 to 525 of the family's 1533-position model. The record is from RNAcentral.
AUUGAACGCUGGCGGCAUGCCUUACACAUGCAAGUCGAACGGCAGCACGGACUUCGGUCUGGUGGCGUGUGGCGAACGGGUGAGUAAUACAUCGGAACGUGCCCAGUAAUGGGGGAUAACGCAGCGAAAGUUGUGCUAAUACCGCAUACGCCCUGAGGGGGAAAGUGGGGGAUCGCAAGACCUCAUGUUAUUGGAGCGGCCGAUGGCUGAUUAGCUAGUUGGUGAGGUAAAGGCUCACCAAGGCGACGAUCAGUAGCUGGUCUGAGAGGACGACCAGCGACACUGGGACGGAGACACGGCCCAGACUCCUACGGGAGGCAGCAGUGGGGAAUUUUGGACAAUGGGCGAAAGCCUGAUCCAGCAAUGCCGCGUGUGCGAAGAAGGCCUUCGGGUUGUAAAGCACUUUUGUCAGGGAAGAAAACUGUUUGGCUAAUACCCGGAUAGGAUGACGGUACCUGAAGAAUAAGCACCAGCUAACUACGUGCCAGCCGCCGCUAACA